AAAUUGAAGAGUUUGAUCAUGGCUCAGAUUGAACGCUGGCGGCAGGCCUAACACAUGCAAGUCGAACGGUAACACAGAGAGCUUGCUCUCGGGUGACGAGUGGCGGACGGGUGAGUAAUGUCUGGGAAACUGCCUGAUGGAGGGGGAUAACUACUGGAAACGGUGGCUAAUACCGCAUAACGUCGCAAGACCAAAGAGGGGGACCUUCGGGCCUCUUGCCAUCAGAUGUGCCCAGAUGGGAUUAGCUUGUUGGUGAGGUAACGGCUCACCAAGGCGACGAUCCCUAGCUGGUCUGAGAGGAUGACCAGCCACACUGGAACUGAGACACGGUCCAGACUCCUACGGGAGGCAGCAGUGGGGAAUAUUGCACAAUGGGCGCAAGCCUGAUGCAGCCAUGCCGCGUGUAUGAAGAAGGCCUUCGGGUUGUAAAGUACUU
Molecule: ribosomal RNA, 436 nt
Filed under: Salmonella enterica subsp. enterica
Lineage: Bacteria; Pseudomonadati; Pseudomonadota; Gammaproteobacteria; Enterobacterales; Enterobacteriaceae
Also listed under: 1 other name
Description: partial 16S ribosomal RNA
Rfam family: Bacterial small subunit ribosomal RNA
Source: RNAcentral